UACGGGGGGGGCAAGCGUUGUUCGGAAUUACUGGGCGUAAAGGGCUCGUAGGCGGCCAACUAAGUCAUACGUGAAAUCCCUCGGCUUAACCGGGGAACUGCGUCUGAUACUGGAUGGCUUGAGUUCGGGAGAGGGAUGCGGAAUUCCAGGUGUAGCGGUGAAAUGCGUAGAUAUCUGGAGGAACACCGGUGGCGAAGGCGGCAUCCUGGACCGAUACUGACGCUGAGGAGCGAAAGCCAGGGGAGCAAACGGGG
This 254-nucleotide ribosomal RNA is filed under the name uncultured bacterium. RNAcentral's name for it is "partial 16S ribosomal RNA". It matches the Rfam family "Bacterial small subunit ribosomal RNA", at positions 524 to 777 of the family's 1533-position model. The record is from RNAcentral.